RNAcentral lists this ribosomal RNA (253 nucleotides) under uncultured bacterium. RNAcentral's name for it is "partial 16S ribosomal RNA". It matches the Rfam family "Bacterial small subunit ribosomal RNA", at positions 524 to 776 of the family's 1533-position model. The record is from RNAcentral.
UACGGAGGGUGCGAGCGUUGUCCGGAAUUACUGGGCGUAAAGAGCUCGUAGGUGGUUUGUCGCGUUGUUCGUGAAAUCUCAUGGCUUAACUGUGAGCGUGCGGGCGAUACGGGCAGACUAGAGUACUGCAGGGGAGACUGGAAUUCCUGGUGUAGCGGUGGAAUGCGCAGAUAUCAGGAGGAACACCGGUGGCGAAGGCGGGUCUCUGGGCAGUAACUGACGCUGAGGAGCGAAAGCGUGGGGAGCGAACAGG